UAAAUGAUGAAAAAAAUUGGUCCGUGUUUAUGAAUUUAUUUGAUUUUAACCUCAACCACAUCUGAUCUUU
Contarinia nasturtii (swede midge) is the source of this 70-nucleotide small nucleolar RNA. RefSeq annotates it as small nucleolar RNA U18. Lineage: Eukaryota; Metazoa; Arthropoda; Insecta; Diptera; Cecidomyiidae. The record is from RefSeq and is a predicted model, not a curated record. The transcript has a single exon.